RNAcentral lists this ribosomal RNA (732 nucleotides) under uncultured bacterium. Its description in RNAcentral is "bacterial SSU rRNA". It matches the Rfam family "Bacterial small subunit ribosomal RNA", at positions 1 to 749 of the family's 1533-position model. The record is from RNAcentral.
UAGAGUUUGAUCCUGGCUCAGGACGAACGCUGGCGGCGUGCUUAACACAUGCAAGUCGAACGAUGACGAUGGUGCUUGCACCGUCUGAUUAGUGGCGAACGGGUGAGUAACACGUGAGUAACCUGCCCUCCUCUUCGGGAUAACCGCCGGAAACGGUGGCUAAUACCGGAUAUGAAUGCCUGCCGCAUGGUGGGUGUUGGAAAGAUUUAUCGGUGGGGGAUGGACUCGCGGCCUAUCAGUUUGUUGGUGAGGUAAUGGCUCACCAAGGCGAUGACGGGUAGCCGGCCUGAGAGGGCGACCGGCCACACUGGGACUGAGACACGGCCCAGACUCCUACGGGAGGCAGCAGUGGGGAAUAUUGCACAAUGGGCGAAAGCCUGAUGCAGCGACGCCGCGUGGGGGAUGACGGCCUUCGGGUUGUAAACCUCUUUCAGCAGGGAAGAAGCGAGAGUGACGGUACCUGCAGAAGAAGCGCCGGCUAACUACGUGCCAGCAGCCGCGGUAAUACGUAGGGCGCAAGCGUUGUCCGGAAUUAUUGGGCGUAAAGAGCUUGUAGGUGGCUUGUCGCGUCUGCCGUGAAAACCCGAGGCUCAACCUCGGGCGUGCGGUGGGUACGGGCAGGCUAGAGUGUGGUAGGGGAGACUGGAACUCCUGGUGUAGCGGUGAAAUUGCGCAGAUAUCAGGAAGAACACCGAUGGCGAAGGCAGGUCUCUGGGCCAUUACUGACACUGA